GAAUUGUUCGCAAUGGGCGCAAGCCUGACGACGCAACGCCGCGUGGAGGAUGAAGAUCUUCGGGUCGUAAACUCCUUUCGAUCGGGAAGAACAUUUUCGGUGUGAACAACACCGAGAAGUGACGGUACCGGGAGAAGAAGCCCCGGCUAACUCUGUGCCAGCAGCCGCGGUAAUACGUAGGGGGCAAGCGUUGUCCGGAUUUAUUGGGCGUAAAGCGCUCGCAGGUGGUUCGAUGCGUCGUGCGUGAAAGACCCCGGCUCAACUGGGGAGUGUCGUGCGAUACGGUCGAACUGGAGGCCAGUAGGGGGAUGCGGAAUUCCGGGUGUAGUGGUGGAAUGCGUAGAGAUCCGGAGGAACACCAGCGGCGAAGGCGGCAUCCUGGACUGGUCCUGACACUCAUGAGCGAAAGCGUGGGGAGCGAUC
RNAcentral lists this ribosomal RNA (423 nucleotides) under uncultured bacterium. RNAcentral describes it as "bacterial SSU rRNA". It matches the Rfam family "Bacterial small subunit ribosomal RNA", at positions 359 to 773 of the family's 1533-position model. The record is from RNAcentral.